This 506-nucleotide ribosomal RNA is filed under the name Lipoptena fortisetosa. Its description in RNAcentral is "partial large subunit ribosomal RNA". Lineage: Eukaryota; Metazoa; Arthropoda; Insecta; Diptera; Hippoboscidae. The record is from RNAcentral.
AAAGUUUAACCUGCCCACUGAUAUAUUAAAUGGCCGCAGUAUAUUAACUGUGCAAGGUAGCAUAAUCAUUAGUCUUUUAAUUGAAGGCUGGAAUGAAUGGUUGGACGAGAUAUUUACUGUUUCAUAUUUAUUUAUAUUAGAAUUUUAUUUUUUAGUAAAAAAGCUAAAAUAAUAUUAAAAGACGAGAAGACCCUAUAAAUCUUUAUAUUUAAUUAAUUUUUAUAUAUUAGAAAUUAAAUUAUAUUUAUUAAAUUAAAUAUUUUAUUGGGGUGAUAUUAAAAUUUAAUUAACUUUUAAUAUUAAAAACAUUAAUUUAUGAAUUAUUGAUCCAAUAAUAUUGAUUAUUAGAAUAAGAAACUUUAGGGAUAAUAGCGAAAUAUGAAAGAGGAGAUAUCUCGGAUAACCAAUCAUGCGAGCUCUCUGUUGAAUGAAUAAAGAAUAUGCGGCGUAGGCUUUGAAAAACUAAGGCGGCCCGACUAUAAGACUCUGACCUGGUCUGAGUUUAG